This 141-nucleotide small nuclear RNA is filed under the name Sinocyclocheilus rhinocerous. Its description in RNAcentral is "U4 spliceosomal RNA (ENSSRHG00000026496.1)". It matches the Rfam family "U4 spliceosomal RNA". Rfam says of the family: U4 small nuclear RNA (U4 snRNA) is a component of the major U2-dependent spliceosome. The structure of U4 snRNA from yeast and human has been reported. Lineage: Eukaryota; Metazoa; Chordata; Actinopteri; Cypriniformes; Cyprinidae. The record is from Rfam by way of RNAcentral.
AUUCUUUCGCAGAGGCAAUAUUGUAGCUUAUGAGGUACAUCUGAGGCGCGAUUAUUGCUGGUUGAAAACUUUAGCCAAUACCUCACCAGGAUGACUUGAAAUACAGUCAGCCUUGGAAAUUUCUGCCUGCUUCUCUGGAAG